GCCGGGUGUGGUGGCUCACGCCUGUAAUCCCAACACUUUGGGAGGCCGAGGUGGGUGGAUCACCUGAGGUCAGGAGUUCAAGACCAGCCUGGCCAACAUGGAGAAACCCCAUCUCUG
RNAcentral lists this non-coding RNA (117 nucleotides) under Nomascus leucogenys (northern white-cheeked gibbon). Lineage: Eukaryota; Metazoa; Chordata; Mammalia; Primates; Hylobatidae. The record is from Rfam by way of RNAcentral.